GUCGACUUAGCUCAGUUGGGAGAGCGCUAGACUGAAGAUCUAGAGGUCCCGGCUUCGAUCGCCGGAGUUGACA
This 73-nucleotide transfer RNA is filed under the name Bigelowiella natans CCMP2755. RNAcentral describes it as "tRNA-Phe for anticodon GAA". It matches the Rfam family "tRNA". Rfam says of the family: Transfer RNA (tRNA) molecules are approximately 80 nucleotides in length. Lineage: Eukaryota; Cercozoa; Chlorarachniophyceae. The record is from RNAcentral.